RNAcentral lists this ribosomal RNA (663 nucleotides) under Lacticaseibacillus paracasei. RNAcentral's name for it is "bacterial SSU rRNA". It matches the Rfam family "Bacterial small subunit ribosomal RNA", at positions 371 to 1025 of the family's 1533-position model. The record is from RNAcentral. Lineage: Bacteria; Bacillati; Bacillota; Bacilli; Lactobacillales; Lactobacillaceae.
AUGGACGCAAGUCUGAUGGAGCAACGCUGCGUGAGUGAAGAAGGCUUUCGGGUCGUAAAACUCUGUUGUUGGAGAAGAAUGGUCGGCAGAGUAACUGUUGUCGGCGUGACGGUAUCCAACCAGAAAGCCACGGCUAACUACGUGCCAGCGGCCGCGGUAAUACGUAGGUGGCAAGCGUUAUCCGGAUUUAUUGGGCGUAAAGCGAGCGCAGGCGGUUUUUUAAGUCUGAUGUGAAAGCCCUCGGCUUAACCGAGGAAGCGCAUCGGAAACUGGGAAACUUGAGUGCAGAAGAGGACAGUGGAACUCCAUGUGUAGCGGUGAAAUGCGUAGAUAUAUGGAAGAACACCAGUGGCGAAGGCGGCUGUCUGGUCUGUAACUGACGCUGAGGCUCGAAAGCAUGGGUAGCGAACAGGAUUAGAUACCCUGGUAGUCCAUGCCGUAAACGAUGAAUGCUAGGUGUUGGAGGGUUUCCGCCCUUCAGUGCCGCAGCUAACGCAUUAAGCAUUCCGCCUGGGGAGUACGACCGCAAGGUUGAAACUCAAAGGAAUUGACGGGGGCCCGCACAAGCGGUGGAGCAUGUGGUUUAAUUCGAAGCAACGCGAAGAACCUUACCAGGUCUUGACAUCUUUUGAUCACCUGAGAGAUCAGGUUUCCCCUUCGGGG